GCCUACGGGGCGCAGCAGUAGGGAAUCUUCCACAAUAGGCGAAAGCCUGAUGGAGCAACGCCGCGUGGGUGAAGAAGGUCUUCGGAUCGUAAAACCCUGUUGUUAGAGAAGAAAGUGCGUGAGAGUAACUGUUCACGUUUCGACGGUAUCUAACCAGAAAGCCACGGCUAACUACGUGCCAGCAGCCGCGGUAAUACGUAGGUGGCAAGCGUUAUCCGUAUUUAUUGGGCGUAAAGGGAACGCAGGCGGUCUUUUAAGUCUGAUGUGAAAGCCUUCGGCUUAACCGGAGUAGUGCAUUGGAAACU
RNAcentral lists this ribosomal RNA (305 nucleotides) under uncultured bacterium. RNAcentral describes it as "bacterial SSU rRNA". It matches the Rfam family "Bacterial small subunit ribosomal RNA", at positions 337 to 634 of the family's 1533-position model. The record is from RNAcentral.